This 102-nucleotide microRNA precursor is filed under the name Marmota monax (woodchuck). The record is from RNAcentral. Lineage: Eukaryota; Metazoa; Chordata; Mammalia; Rodentia; Sciuridae.
ACAUGAGUCACCUGGGGAUCUUGUUAAAAUGCAGAAUGCUUUAGUAGGUCUGGGUGAGACCUGAGGUUCUGCAUUUCUAACAAGCUCCCAGCUGAUGCUGGU